GAUGAACGCUGGCGGCGUGCCUAAUACAUGCAAGUCGAGCGAACAGACGAGGAGCUUGCUCCUCUGACGUUAGCGGCGGACGGGUGAGUAACACGUGGAUAACCUACCUAUAAGACUGGGAUAACUUCGGGAAACCGGAGCUAAUACCGGAUAAUAUAUUGAACCGCAUGGUUCAAUAGUGAAAGACGGUUUUGCUGCCACUUAUAGAUGGAUCCGCGCCGCAUUAGCUAGUUGGUAAGGUAACGGCUUACCAAGGCAACGAUGCGUAGCCGACCUGAGAGGGUGAUCGGCCACACUGGAACUGAGACACGGUCCAGACUCCUACGGGAGGCAGCAGUAGGGAAUCUUCCGCAAAGGGCGAAAGCCUGACGGAGCAACGCCGCGUGAGUGAUGAAGGUCUUCGGAUCGUAAAACUCUGUUAUUAGGGAAGAACAAAUGUGUAAGUAACUAUGCACGUCUUGACGGUACCUAAUCAGAAAGCCACGGCUAACUACGUG
This 497-nucleotide ribosomal RNA is filed under the name uncultured bacterium. RNAcentral's name for it is "partial 16S ribosomal RNA". It matches the Rfam family "Bacterial small subunit ribosomal RNA", at positions 28 to 507 of the family's 1533-position model. The record is from RNAcentral.